This 614-nucleotide long non-coding RNA is filed under the name Mytilus galloprovincialis (Mediterranean mussel). The record is from RNAcentral. Lineage: Eukaryota; Metazoa; Mollusca; Bivalvia; Mytilida; Mytilidae.
UUACAUUUGCCAUUUCGGGGACCUUUAUAACUGACUAGUAUGUCGUAUGGGCUUUGCUCAUUGUUGAUGGUUGUAUGGUGACCUAUAGCUGUUAAUUUGUGUCUUGUGUCUCUAGUGGAGAGUUGUCUCAUUGGCAAUCAUACCACAUCUUCUUUUUAGCUCACCUGACCCAGAGGGCCAAGUGAGCUUUUCUCAUCACUGGCGUCCGUCGUCGUUAACUUAAAAAAAAAAUAUUCUCCUCUGAAACUACUGGGCCAAAUUUAACCAAACUUGGCCACAAUCAUCAUUGGGGUAUCUUGUUUAAAAAAUGUGUCCGGUGACCCGGCCAACCAACAAAGAUGGCCACCAUGGCUAAAAAUAGAACAUAGGGGUAAAAUGUAUAUUUUGGCUUAUAUCUCUGAAACCAAAGCAUUUAGAGCAAAUCUGGCAUGGGGUAAAAUGUUAAUCAGGUCAAGAUCUAUCUGCCCUGAAAUUUUCAGACCAAUCAAGCAACCCGUUGUUGGGUUGCUUCCCCUGAAUUGGUGAUUUUAAGAAAAUUAUGCAGCUUUUGGUUAUUUAUCUUGAAUAUUAUUAUAGCAGAGAUAAACUGUAAACACCAAUAAUAUACAGCAAAG